CCGGUGGCUAACUUUUUCUUAGGAAUGAGAAAGAGGACUUGAUCUAAUUUCUUAUUAUUUAUGGACGUUGAUA
This 73-nucleotide transfer RNA is filed under the name Marchantia polymorpha subsp. ruderalis. Its description in RNAcentral is "tRNA-Ala". The record is from RNAcentral. Lineage: Eukaryota; Viridiplantae; Streptophyta; Marchantiopsida; Marchantiales; Marchantiaceae.